ACUUGUUCACUUAUAGCGCAAACAUUUAUUGAGCGCUUAUUUUACCCCGAGGAGCUUCCACACCAGCGGGGAAGAAAGACAGCUAGGGGAGGGGAACAGAGCACACUGUGCCUCGCCCGGAGAGACGGAGGGGUAGCACCCCCCUGCCAAUGGGUAAGGUGCACAGUAAAGAAGUGAAGCAGUGGAUGAGAUAACUGCGGUGGAGACCACCUCCUAUGGAAACGAGUCUGGAGCAGCUGGUACCCUGGUGGUGGUGGAGCUCGCCCUGGAGACAGGAUUCCUCCAGAUCCCAGCACCUGGGAGUGCUCACUAAAGCCUCACGGAAGGGACACCACCGCCUGGCAGCCCUCCUCAGGCCCCGGGGCCGUGAAGCCUGUAACACCAUCCUACUCAUCUUCACCCCAGUGGUGAUAACCACCACCCAGACUGGCCCUGGGGACAACACACAGUCUUCAAGAAUCAUGCUGGAAGGUCCACGGCAGCGAACAAGUCCCGAUGGAAACCCAGAGGCGGCGACAUUGACCUCUACACUUUCCUGCCUUCCAGGAAAUGGUGGUUCUUUCAGCAGGGAAGGGUGAUGGGCCCAUUCCCCGAAGGGGACUCAUUCUGGGGGGCCCAGAGCAGCCAUAGCAACAGCACAGGGGGCGGGGGUGGACAUGGGUGUUGCCCGCGGGGACACUGGCUCUCUGCUCUUUGGGUAAGCCCAGGACUCAGCCAGGUGCUUGUGGGGAGAGGUUUCAGGUGUGCGAGGGCUAGAGCAAGCGGUGAGGCCCCGGGGCAGCCCACCUCGAGGGGCCCAGCCCCCUCCCUGCAGUACAAAAUGGGUAUGCCUGUUCUUGGUAAAUAUACUUGAUAUGUGCUUUAAGUAAGAAACAUGAAGACAAAAGCAAAC
Dama dama (fallow deer) is the source of this 892-nucleotide long non-coding RNA. RefSeq lists it as uncharacterized. Lineage: Eukaryota; Metazoa; Chordata; Mammalia; Artiodactyla; Cervidae. The transcript has 3 exons. The record is from RefSeq and is a predicted model, not a curated record.